This is a long non-coding RNA of Ictalurus punctatus (channel catfish), 337 nucleotides long. The record is from Ensembl. Lineage: Eukaryota; Metazoa; Chordata; Actinopteri; Siluriformes; Ictaluridae.
GUUUGAGCCCGGGUCAGAUUCAGAAAAAGCGGAUGAUCAAGCGGAACUAAUUUUGCAAACACGACUUGAGCAGAACAUUUUUACAGUGACCUUGUUUGCUGCACCAUGAUUGUGAGGAACUCAACAAAAUGCAAGUGGAUUGAUUUGCAUCCAAACUGCAUGUGUGUAUGUUGAUGAAUGAUGCCAGAACCACUGAACCUGUUAAUGCUGCACCUGCCUUGAUGGAACAGCCACCAAUACACCCAUCCACAAUGGACAGAGACAUAUAUGCACCCCUCACAUCUGGACAAAGACACUCAUUCCCUUCCAUCAUUCCAGAACAGAGACAAUCAUGCAU